RNAcentral lists this ribosomal RNA (403 nucleotides) under uncultured bacterium. RNAcentral describes it as "partial 16S ribosomal RNA". It matches the Rfam family "Bacterial small subunit ribosomal RNA", at positions 28 to 526 of the family's 1533-position model. The record is from RNAcentral.
GACGAACGCUGGCGGCGUGCCUAAUACAUGCAAGUCGAGCGCAGUGGGGACGGUUGAUUAACACGUGGGUAACCUCCCAUCAGAGGGGAUAACACUUGGAAACAGGUGCUAAACCGAUACUGGAGGAUGGACUCGCGGGGGAUUAGCUAGUGGGUGGGGUAACGGCUCACCUAGGCCACGAUGCAUAGCGGGCCUGAGAGGGUGAUCGGCCACACUGGGACUGAGACACGGCCCAGACUCCUACGGGAGGCAGCAGUAGGGAAUAUUCGACAAUGGACGAAAGUCUGACGGAGCAACGCCGCGUGAGUGAAGAAGGUUUUCGGAUCGUAAAACUCUGUUGUUAGAGAAGCGGUAUCUAAAGAGGAAGCCACGGCUAACUACGUGCCAGCCGCCGCGGUAAUAC